UUAAGCGACUAAGCGUACACGGUGGAUGCCCUGGCAGUCAGAGGCGAUGAAGGACGUGCUAAUCUGCGAUAAGCGUCGGUAAGGUGAUAUGAACCGUUAUAACCGGCGAUUUCCGAAUGGGGAAACCCAGUGUGUUUCGACACACUAUCAUUAACUGAAUCCAUAGGUUAAUGAGGCGAACCGGGGGAACUGAAACAUCUAAGUACCCCGAGGAAAAGAAAUCAACCGAGAUUCCCCCAGUAGCGGCGAGCGAACGGGGAGCAGCCCAGAGCCUGAAUCAGUGUGUGUGUUAGUGGAAGCGUCUGGAAAGGCGCGCGAUACAGGGUGACAGCCCCGUACACAAAAAUGCACAUACUGUGAGCUCGAUGAGUAGGGCGGGACACGUGGUAUCCUGUCUGAAUAUGGGGGGACCAUCCUCCAAGGCUAAAUACUCCUGACUGACCGAUAGUGAACCAGUACCGUGAGGGAAAGGCGAAAAGAACCCCGGCGAGGGGAGUGAAAAAGAACCUGAAACCGUGUACGUACAAGCAGUGGGAGCCUCUUAAUGGGGUGACUGCGUACCUUUUGUAUAAUGGGUCAGCGACUUAUAUUCUGUAGCAAGGUUAACCGAAUAGGGGAGCCGAAGGGAAACCGAGUCUUAACUGGGCGUUAAGUUGCAGGGUAUAGACCCGAAACCCGGUGAUCUAGCCAUGGGCAGGUUGAAGGUUGGGUAACACUAACUGGAGGACCGAACCGACUAAUGUUGAAAAAUUAGCGGAUGACUUGUGGCUGGGGGUGAAAGGCCAAUCAAACCGGGAGAUAGCUGGUUCUCCCCGAAAGCUAUUUAGGUAGCGCCUCGUGAAUUCAUCUCCGGGGGUAGAGCACUGUUUCGGCAAGGGGGUCAUCCCGACUUACCAACCCGAUGCAAACUGCGAAUACCGGAGAAUGUUAUCACGGGAGACACACGGCGGGUGCUAACGUCCGUCGUGAAGAGGGAAACAACCCAGACCGCCAGCUAAGGUCCCAAAGUCAUGGUUAAGUGGGAAACGAUGUGGGAAGGCCCAGACAGCCAGGAUGUUGGCUUAGAAGCAGCCAUCAUUUAAAGAAAGCGUAAUAGCUCACUGGUCGAGUCGGCCUGCGCGGAAGAUGUAACGGGGCUAAACCAUGCACCGAAGCUGCGGCAGCGACACUAUGUGUUGUUGGGUAGGGGAGCGUUCUGUAAGCCUGUGAAGGUGUACUGUGAGGUAUGCUGGAGGUAUCAGAAGUGCGAAUGCUGACAUAAGUAACGAUAAAGCGGGUGAAAAGCCCGCUCGCCGGAAGACCAAGGGUUCCUGUCCAACGUUAAUCGGGGCAGGGUGAGUCGACCCCUAAGGCGAGGCCGAAAGGCGUAGUCGAUGGGAAACAGGUUAAUAUUCCUGUACUUGGUGUUACUGCGAAGGGGGGACGGAGAAGGCUAUGUUGGCCGGGCGACGGUUGUCCCGGUUUAAGCGUGUAGGCUGAUUUUCCAGGCAAAUCCGGAAAAUCAAGGCUGAGGCGUGAUGACGAGGCACUACGGUGCUGAAGCAACAAAUGCCCUGCUUCCAGGAAAAGCCUCUAAGCAUCAGGUAACAUCAAAUCGUACCCCAAACCGACACAGGUGGUCAGGUAGAGAAUACCAAGGCGCUUGAGAGAACUCGGGUGAAGGAACUAGGCAAAAUGGUGCCGUAACUUCGGGAGAAGGCACGCUGAUAUGUAGGUGAAGUCCCUUGCGGAUGGAGCUGAAAUCAGUCGAAGAUACCAGCUGGCUGCAACUGUUUAUUAAAAACACAGCACUGUGCAAACACGAAAGUGGACGUAUACGGUGUGACGCCUGCCCGGUGCCGGAAGGUUAAUUGAUGGGGUUAGCGGUAACGCGAAGCUCUUGAUCGAAGCCCCGGUAAACGGCGGCCGUAACUAUAACGGUCCUAAGGUAGCGAAAUUCCUUGUCGGGUAAGUUCCGACCUGCACGAAUGGCGUAAUGAUGGCCAGGCUGUCUCCACCCGAGACUCAGUGAAAUUGAACUCGCUGUGAAGAUGCAGUGUACCCGCGGCAAGACGGAAAGACCCCGUGAACCUUUACUAUAGCUUGACACUGAACAUUGAGCCUUGAUGUGUAGGAUAGGUGGGAGGCUUUGAAGUGUGGACGCCAGUCUGCAUGGAGCCGGCCUUGAAAUACCACCCUUUAAUGUUUGAUGUUCUAACGUUGGCCCCUGAUCGGGGUUGCGGACAGUGUCUGGUGGGUAGUUUGACUGGGGCGGUCUCCUCCUAAAGAGUAACGGAGGAGCACGAAGGUUGGCUAAUCCUGGUCGGACAUCAGGAGGUUAGUGCAAUGGCAUAAGCCAGCUUGACUGCGAGCGUGACGGCGCGAGCAGGUGCGAAAGCAGGUCAUAGUGAUCCGGUGGUUCUGAAUGGAAGGGCCAUCGCUCAACGGAUAAAAGGUACUCCGGGGAUAACAGGCUGAUACCGCCCAAGAGUUCAUAUCGACGGCGGUGUUUGGCACCUCGAUGUCGGCUCAUCACAUCCUGGGGCUGAAGUAGGUCCCAAGGGUAUGGCUGUUCGCCAUUUAAAGUGGUACGCGAGCUGGGUUUAGAACGUCGUGAGACAGUUCGGUCCCUAUCUGCCGUGGGCGCUGGAGAACUGAGGGGGGCUGCUCCUAGUACGAGAGGACCGGAGUGGACGCAUCACUGGUGUUCGGGUUGUCAUGCCAAUGGCACUGCCCGGUAGCUAAAUGCGGAAGAGAUAAGUGCUGAAAGCAUCUAAGCACGAAACUUGCCCCGAGAUGAGUUCUCCCUGACUCCUUGAGAGUCCUGAAGGAACGUUGAAGACGACGACGUUGAUAGGCCGGGUGUGUAAGCGCAGCGAUGCGUUGAGCUAACCGGUACUAAUGAACCGUGAGGCUUAACCU
This 2901-nucleotide ribosomal RNA is filed under the name Escherichia coli. RNAcentral's name for it is "23S ribosomal RNA". It matches the Rfam family "Bacterial large subunit ribosomal RNA". The record is from RNAcentral. Lineage: Bacteria; Pseudomonadati; Pseudomonadota; Gammaproteobacteria; Enterobacterales; Enterobacteriaceae.